Molecule: long non-coding RNA, 486 nt
Organism: Oreochromis aureus
Lineage: Eukaryota; Metazoa; Chordata; Actinopteri; Cichliformes; Cichlidae
Exons: 3
Source: RefSeq, a predicted model, not a curated record
GUAUCAUCGACUUUGGACUGAGCUGCUUUGUUAAGGAGCGGUCGCUGUACCGCGUCUUCUAUGGUACAGACAUUUACUCCCCUCCCGAGUGGUACAGGCGCAGUUGCUACAGGUGUGGACCCACCACGGUAUGGCAAAUGGGAGUGGUUCUGUACGAAGCGCUUCAUGUGGGGGACUUUAACACCACGAGCUUCCUCAAAAAGCGCCUGAAAUUCAAAAGCCGUCUGUCUAAAUGCUGCCGGGAUUUCUUGGACGCGUGUUUAACCAGAGUCCCAGAGAUGCGGCCGACGUUGGAGGACCUCCAGCAUCACACUUGGCUGAGAUAAACCCAUCACACACACACACACAAACACACGCAAUUCAGACGUUAUCAUGUAUGUGUGAUAUAUGAGAUAACUUUCUUGUUUUCUGUUUGACAGGAAAUAAUUUUUUUAAUUGCCCUAUUUUAAACUUUGGUGUUUUGGAAUUCCUGUAACCCCCCAGCCA